GAUGAACGCUGGCGGCGUGCCUAAUACAUGCAAGUCGAGCGAACGGAUGAGGAGCUUGCUCCUCUGACGUUAGCGGCGGACGGGUGAGUAACACGUGGAUAACCUACCUAUAAGACUGGGAUAACUUCGGGAAACCGGAGCUAAUACCGGAUAAUAUAUUGAACCGCAUGGUUCAAUAGUGAAAGACGGUUUUGCUGUCACUUAUAGAUGGAUCCGCGCCGCAUUAGCUAGUUGGUAAGGUAACGGCUUACCAAGGCAACGAUGUGUAGCCGACCUGAGAGGGUGAUCGGCCACACUGGAACUGAGACACGGUCCAGACUCCUACGGGAGGCAGCAGUAGGGAAUCUUCCGCAAUGGGCGAAAGCCUGACGGAGCAACGCCGCGUGAGUGAUGAAGGUCUUCGGAUCGUAAAACUCUGUUAUUAGGGAAGAACAAAUGUGUAAGUAACUAUGCACGUCUUGACGGUACCUAAUCAGAAAGCCACGGCUAACUACGUG
RNAcentral lists this ribosomal RNA (497 nucleotides) under uncultured bacterium. RNAcentral describes it as "partial 16S ribosomal RNA". It matches the Rfam family "Bacterial small subunit ribosomal RNA", at positions 28 to 507 of the family's 1533-position model. The record is from RNAcentral.